This is a small nucleolar RNA of Cercocebus atys (sooty mangabey), 128 nucleotides long. The record is from Ensembl. NCBI's taxonomy places the organism in Eukaryota, Metazoa, Chordata, Mammalia, Primates, Cercopithecidae.
GCAGACUCACUAUGCAUCUGGCUGCAUCACCAGGUGGCUGCUCAUUCCCUCUUCCAGAGAAACAAACAUUCCAGCGUGCUGUGGCCACCUGACUUAUAAGGGCAAUGCAGCUGCCUGGAGAUAGACAG